UGCCUUGUCGCUCCAGUGUAUCAAGACAGAUCCGAAUCUUGUCCCACAGUGACCUAAUGUGACGACAUCUCCCCAGAAGCCACCACCUCAGGUUGUGAUAUAAUGUCUUCUGCUUGUCAUCAGCAUCUCAGACCACACGGCUGCCACAUGCUGAUGUCCUGUGAGCUCUGAAAGACUUUUCAGGAUCCAUUACUGGACAUGGGGUCACCCGUUAAAACCAGGGCAAAUCUAGAAAAUGCAGGCCACUGGCCAGAUGAGGAUAACUCUGCCCUUUGUAAUGCUUUUCUCCCCUGGGUCAGUUCCUCUGAACACUAAAUGCAGAAUAACUUUCCGGGUUCACCAGUACACAGAAUGAUUGCGGCAUGGGAUAGGAUGUGUUCUCCAGGACAUGAUGGUAUCCCAAGGCAAUACUGAUGCAGAUUAACUGACCCUGCUGCUAAGAGGGCUAAAGAAUGCAGGAACAGUCCAUGUGCUCAGUUUCCAUUAUAAAAUUAUCGUGGCUUCACACCUCAGUGGGUAGUGAUACCACAUGCAUGUGUCCAAGCCCCCACUUCUUGCUGUCUCCUUCGUUUCUUUCACAUGGUUGGGCUGUCAUAACUGCAGUGCUUAUGUGUGUGCCUGCCCUCUACUAGAUGUAAUGAGAACUGCUCAGCUGUGUUUCACAGGCCUUGUACUGCCACACAAAUUCUCCUUUAGCGUCAGUGCUAGGAGCAGCAGGGCCUGAGUUUUGCCCCCACUGCCUCUGCAAAGUUUGACUGGACAUGGAAUGCAGCAUAGUGGCAACCAGGAUCUCCUAGGUGGCCAUGGAUGGUAUAUGCCUGAAGCAGCCUCCUAGCUGAUAUCUGCCACCAGCCACACUCCUUCCUGCUCCUCCUUCAACAAACUCCUGCAAACUCUCCUGUUGCACGCAGCAUUCCAGCUACAAUGACCACAGAAUCCCUGUCAGAUCCUCCACCCCAGAGGUCACGGCAGAGUCCUGGGAGAAGCACUGUGAGUCCCACCCAGCCAGGCCAGGGAGUCGGAGUGGGGUUAACGGGAAGGCAGCCAAGUGGGCGCGGCCCCUUGCAAAACACCUGCCAGAAACUGACUGGCUGCCAAAGUCUGCAAGCCCAGCCUGGCAGCCCCACCUGUGUGAUCCUGUGGGGCACCUCCCACUCCCUCCGGAUCCUGCACUGCCCCCCACACUGGGAAACGCUGAGCUAAGAAGCUGAACGACCUGCGGGACCAGAGGAACUGAACCUGGCACGGCACCCUGGCCCCUGGGUGAGCAGUGGAAGAGCUCUCCCAAAUCCUCACCCUGCUGGGAAUUAGAGGGGUCGACUGAGAAACAGAGUCAUCAUCUUCUGGGUGACAUCCUCAUGGGACUUUGCCUGAUUUUCGCCCACCCAGAGGAUCCUGACACCCGGUCGGGAACAGGUGAAACUCCCAGGAACAAAGAUCUGCUUUCCAUGCAGAUGCCCUUAGCUGGCUAACACAGGGAGAGGAGACGAUGGAGUCGCUCCCACGGCGAGUCUAUUUCCGGAGCCUUGCUUGAGGCCACUGGGGCUCUUGGGAGAUGUCCCAGUUGGAAGUGGGAGAGUGGGACGUGUUCCCUACGUCACACCAGCCCAGAGCUCGGCACACAACAAAGCUGUUAAACAAAGACCAGACAAAGUCUACUGAGGAAUCCAGCGUGGGAGCUGCUGAGGGGUUGGCUGCAAAGACCCUGUAUCUAAUCAGUAACUGCAGGAUUCCAGAGAGUCUGCUUGGGAGGGGGGGUGGAUAGGACAGCAGAACCCACUCAAACCUUCUUCCCCCAAAAUCCCACCCAAUCUUUCUGCCAAGCCUCAAACUCGGUGAUGCAUGAUGAACUCUCCGUGUCACCUGCCUUCCCCUCGCCAGGUGAGUGGGCCCCUCUGGGUUUCCUCUGGACCGGGAGUGCCAGCAGGACCCCAGGAUGGGCUGUUCUUGUGAGAUUUCCAGCCCAGUCUCCAGACCAAAGGCAUUCGGAGACAUCUGGAAGCGGCUCCAAACCAAGACUCUGACCCCUUGACAGGUCACCGUGCACACACCAGGAAAUGGUGCUGGAAGGAACUGCCACGGAAGGAGUCCCAGGGGUCAGAGCGGAAGGCACUAACCAUGUGUUUGCUCUAGUUACGCGGCUCUCCCCCCGGUUAUCCCCAGCCAUGCGCUGGCCCUUCCCCUGGAAAUGAAAGGUCCAACUGUGACCAGGAGCCAUAGUCCCUGUCUCGUGGAGUUCCACAGAUGUGGUGGGGAAGGAAGCUCUGUUCUGAAGCAUUAGCAUGUAGGAGGAGGUUUGUUGUUCUGUGAUCGGGCGCACUGACUCCUCCCGCCCCCCCUGCAUGGCCAGUCCCUGCAGCUGGGCCCACACUGAAUCGAGGAGCUGCUGCUGCCCUGGCCAAGAGCACCAGGCAGGAAAUGGAGUAGAGUUUCCAAACCUGCAGAGUGGAGAAGGGCUGGGGAAGCAGCAAAGUGCCCUUGUCCCAUUGCUGGGAGGAGGGGCCUUGGGAGGGAUCUUUGACUGCCCAGCUGAAGGCUCCUUGGGAUGCUGCCUUCUCACCAAAUGCCCACAAUUUACCGCAAACUGCCUAGCGCGUUGAGCGCGGAUCCUGAGCCCCCCUGCUCAGAACGCGACACCCGCCCUCCGCCCCUCUUACGCACACCGGGACCAGACGUGAC
This is a long non-coding RNA of Mauremys mutica (yellowpond turtle), 2679 nucleotides long. RefSeq lists it as uncharacterized. The record is from RefSeq and is a predicted model, not a curated record. Lineage: Eukaryota; Metazoa; Chordata; Testudines; Geoemydidae. The transcript has 4 exons.